This 662-nucleotide ribosomal RNA is filed under the name Nannocystis sp. RNAcentral's name for it is "bacterial SSU rRNA". It matches the Rfam family "Bacterial small subunit ribosomal RNA", at positions 55 to 714 of the family's 1533-position model. Lineage: Bacteria; Pseudomonadati; Myxococcota; Nannocystales; Nannocystaceae. The record is from RNAcentral.
AUGCAAGUCAGCAACGGGCUAGCAACUAGUGCAGUGGCUGCACGGGUGCGUAACACGUAGGUAAUCAACCCCUUGGUUCGGGAUAACGUUCUGAAAGGAGCGCUAAUACCGGACGUGUCUUCGGGAGCUUCGGCUCCUGUCGAGAAAGACCCGCAAGGGUUGCCGAGGGACGAGCCUGCGGCCCAUCAGCUAGUUGGCGAGGUAAUAGCUCACCAAGGCGAAGACGGGUAGCUGGUCUGAGAGGAUGAUCAGUCACACUGGAACUGAGACACGGUCCAGACUCCUACGGGAGGCAGCAGUGGGGAAUAUUGCGCAAUGGGCGAAAGCCUGACGCAGCCACGCCGCGUGAGCGAUGAAGGCCUUCGGGUCGUAAAGCUCUGUGGGGAGAGACGAAGAAAGCCUGUGAAGAGCAGGCCUUGACGGUAUCUCCUUAGCAAGCACCGGCUAACUCCGUGCCAGCAGCCGCGGUAAUACGGAGGGUGCGAACGUUGCUCGGAAUCAUUGGGCGUAAAGCGCACGUAGGCGGCGGCGUAAGCGGGAUGUGAAAGCCCAGGGCUCAACCCUGGAAGUGCAUCCCGAACUGUGUCGCUUGAAUCUCGGAGGGGGACAGAGAAUUCCCGGUGUAGAGGUGAAAUUCGUAGAUAUCGGGAGGAAUACCAGUG